Molecule: transfer RNA, 63 nt
Filed under: Rhipicephalus zambeziensis
Lineage: Eukaryota; Metazoa; Arthropoda; Arachnida; Ixodida; Ixodidae
Description: tRNA-Ile
Source: RNAcentral
AGUAAAAUGCCUGAAUAAAGGGUUAUCUUGAUAGGAUAAAUAAUGUAUUUUCUACUUUUACUA